RNAcentral lists this ribosomal RNA (255 nucleotides) under uncultured bacterium. Its description in RNAcentral is "partial 16S ribosomal RNA". It matches the Rfam family "Bacterial small subunit ribosomal RNA", at positions 524 to 776 of the family's 1533-position model. The record is from RNAcentral.
UACGUAGGGGGGCAAGCGUUGUCCGGAUUUAUUGGGCGUAAAGAGCGUGUAGGCGGUCAGAUAGGUCCGUUGUGAAAACUCGAGGCUCAACCUCGAGACGCCGAUGGAAACCAUCUGACUAGAGUCCGGAAGAGGAGAGUGGAAUUCCUGGUGUAGCGGUGAAAUGCGCAGAGUAUCAGGAAGAACACCGAUGGCGAAGGCAGGUCUCUGGGCCACUACUGACGCUGAGAAGCGAAAGCAUGGGGAGCGAACAGG